Molecule: non-coding RNA, 54 nt
Organism: Salmo salar (Atlantic salmon)
Lineage: Eukaryota; Metazoa; Chordata; Actinopteri; Salmoniformes; Salmonidae
Source: Rfam
UGUAUUCACUACUGUAAGUCGCUCUGGAUAAGAGCGUCUGCUAAAUGUAAAAUG